This 233-nucleotide ribosomal RNA is filed under the name uncultured bacterium. Its description in RNAcentral is "partial 16S ribosomal RNA". It matches the Rfam family "Bacterial small subunit ribosomal RNA", at positions 15 to 244 of the family's 1533-position model. The record is from RNAcentral.
GAUCCUGGCUCAGGAUGAACGCUAGCUACAGGCUUAACACAUGCAAGUCGAGGGGCAGCAUGGAGUAGCAAUACUCUGACGGCGACCGGCGGAAGGGUGCGUAACACGUGAGCGACUUGCCCGAUACAGGGAGAUAACCGGUGGAAACGCCGACUAAUAUCCCAUACGACAUGAGGCUGCAUGGCCUUGGGUUGAAAGGUUCGCCGGUAUCGGAUAGGCUCGCGGGACAUUAG